CUCAGAGUAGAUCACUUGUAGCAGAAGCUCGAUGUAGAUCGCUUGUGGUGGGGGCUCGGAGUCCGGCCCUUGUAAGAAUUCGGAUGAGGUCUACCUGCAAUGGGAGCUCAGGGCUGAAGUCCGGCUCCCGUAGGAGCUCGGACGAAGUCUACCUGCAGUAGGAGUUCGGGGAAGAAGUCCGGCUCCCAUAGGAGCCCGGAUGAAACCCAGAAGGCGG
Molecule: long non-coding RNA, 217 nt
Filed under: Elaeis guineensis (African oil palm)
Lineage: Eukaryota; Viridiplantae; Streptophyta; Magnoliopsida; Arecales; Arecaceae
Description: long non-coding RNA (EGUI_LNC071305)
Source: RNAcentral